RNAcentral lists this long non-coding RNA (1644 nucleotides) under Hordeum vulgare. RNAcentral's name for it is "long non-coding RNA (HVUL_LNC020646)". The record is from RNAcentral. Lineage: Eukaryota; Viridiplantae; Streptophyta; Magnoliopsida; Poales; Poaceae.
AAAACAUUUAGCAUCGGGGGCUAGAAGUAGGCCUCCAUUCUUAGUUAGGCUCAACUUUUUGUUCAAGUUCUGGAUUGGGCACGACUUUCUUUCUGUUCUUACCCUCCUGUUGUUCGUCUUUAUAUUCCUUUCGUGCUUGAAGGAGAAGCUCAAACUGGUUCAAUAAAAUGGUAUAGUAGUAUAUUUUUCAUGAAAUAAAAUUGCUCGACAUAUCUGGCAAAAGCUACUCGUUGUGCAAGUUGAAUGUCAUUGCAGAAAAAAGAAACAGCUCACUGUAACCUGCAAAUACGUUUUGUGUUGAUGAUCUAUUUCAUUCAUGCAUUGAUAGCUCAUACAACGUCUGGAGAAACAAUUGUCGAAGUGCCACUGCAACUGCAACAAGCACUUCAAAACUUGUUGCUGCGUCACUUCACUUGAAAAUAUCUCACAGGUCGAUCUCAGUUUACUGUUCACCAACACCCUGAAGCAUCUCAUGCAUGCAUGCACACCAAUUCCCAGGAUCAUUUGACAUGAGAAGAUGCAUGCAUCAUACAUAUCAUGUCCUACCCAAAUGAAGUCCAACGUGGCCCUCUCGUUCGACCUACCCAAUGGACACUACAUAAUGUGCUUCCUUAAAAUGCACCCUUUUGAUUAAGUUCAACAUGCAUGCAUGCAUAGUAGUGAUCACUUAUUGCACGUGAGCAACCUAACAAGUAUUUUUCUUCAUUGUCAUCGUCAUCGAUCCAGCUAGCUAGAGGCAGAUCACAUGUGAUUUUGAUCAUGCGUGUCCAUUUCAUGCACCACUCGACUUCAAUGUCAUUUCACGGGUUGGAUGGAUGGCUGGCCGGGUAGGUCGAUCAGCUCAUAAUAAUUCAGAUCGAAUCGAAGCAGCAUUUAUAUAUCCUUAUUUGUUCAUCCUGAAGAUCACACUAGCUACGGUGUGUGAUGGAGAUGCGAUCACAUGGGGUUGUAGAUAUUUUAGGUAGGUUGGACGAUUAAUUUUCCUGUACAAGAUCGAGAAAUAUCAAGAUGGAUGGGCACGCAUGCUUAGGCCACAUUGGUUAUAACAAUAUGUACUCCUUCCAUUCCAAAAUAAGAAAAAAUGACUCAACUUUAUACUACAAAAUUGAGUCAUUUUUAAGUCACUUAUAUUAAAACGAAGGAAGUAGAUAUUUUAGCUCGGGCAAUUAAUUCUUCUGUGCAAGGAAACCAUCAAGAUUGGAUGGGUACCCAUCCUUGGAGGGACACUCGGGUUAACUGUGUGUAGUCAUAUAAGAUAAGACCCAAGACAUGCCAAAUUGUAGACGGUGACGUACAUGCUCGAGUGAUUUAUCAGAAAGCAACAUUACGAUAUGGUGAUCUUUUUAUGGGACCAUGUAAGUAUAGCAAGAUUUAAGCCAACAAUUGAUCCACGUUACAAUCUUGUACCAGUGCUAGAUGACGUACAUGCUCGAAUUAUAGGAUGCACACGGAUCCCUCUAGGAUGUAUGAUAAAAUGACUCAAAUAUCGGAAAUUGCUUUUGGAGGCCGAGCUAUACAUGGAGGACUCCAAAAGCAAAUUCCAAAUUUUGUGAAAAUUUGUAUUUUAAUAUUUUAAAAAAAUCAGAAAAAAUACAUAGAUAGAUGAAGGUAUAGUACAUAAGUGUGUUAAUUUUUAGAACCAAC